This 468-nucleotide ribosomal RNA is filed under the name uncultured bacterium. RNAcentral describes it as "partial 16S ribosomal RNA". It matches the Rfam family "Bacterial small subunit ribosomal RNA", at positions 28 to 507 of the family's 1533-position model. The record is from RNAcentral.
GACGAACGCUGGCGGCGUGCUUAAUACAUGCAAGUCGAACGGAAAGGCCCUGCUUUUGUGGGGUGCUCGAGUGGCGAACGGGUGAGUAACACGUGAGUAACCUGCCCUUGACUUUGGGAUAACUUCAGGAAACUGGGGCUAAUACCGGAUAGGAGCUCCUGCUGCAUGGUGGGGGUUGGAAAGUUUCGGCGGUUGGGGAUGGACUCGCGGCUUAUCAGCUUGUUGGUGGGGUAGUGGCUUACCAAGGCUUUGACGGGUAGCCGGCCUGAGAGGGUGACCGGCCACAUUGGGACUGAGAUACGGCCCAGACCCCUACGGGAGGCAGCAGUGGGGAAUAUUGCACAAUGGGCGGAAGCCUGAUGCAGCAACGCCGCGUGCGGGAUGACGGCCUUCGGGUUGUAAACCGCUUUCGCCUGUGACGAAGCGUGAGUGACGGUAAUGGGUAAAGAAGCACCGGCUAACUACGUG